This 3188-nucleotide unclassified non-coding RNA is filed under the name Anneissia japonica. RNAcentral describes it as "uncharacterized LOC117122106, transcript variant X1". Lineage: Eukaryota; Metazoa; Echinodermata; Crinoidea; Comatulida; Comatulidae. The record is from RNAcentral.
ACCAAACCCAAGCAAAGUGAGCUAACUUUACUAAUGCAAUAAAGCAGUAGAAAAAUAAGAAAACAAACAAAACAAUAAACAAAUACAAUCAAGCAAGGUGAGAGAACUAUUGAAAAAGGCUAUGUGUGCCUUUAGAAUGUGAAGUAUUGUUAAAGGUACAUUUUAAAAGCCAAAUAAUAACCAGCAUAUUCUUUAUAGCAUUCGAAGGUCAUGAGAAGUAAUUUUUCAUUCCAAAUCACAUUUAGUCUACUCUCAUAUGGUUGUGCAGUAUGAUAUUAGGCCCACCCUGGUCAUUUGCUCAUCGGCUUACAGGUACUCAUAUUUAAUUACAGUAGUGGAGCGAAGACAUUUGCUAUAGAAUGUAGAAUAAUGUAGGCUAUGCAUGAAUGAUGUUGUAUAAAUGUAGCUGCAAUAAUCAAUAAUUUGUUAUUCAUAACAGUAAUGAACCGCCAUAACAGUUACGGUCGCUGCUGUUAAUUUUGUGAAUGUACAGGUGUUAAUGGUAGGCCUGCCAAUAACCUUUUUCUUCUAUAAAAUUAACCUGAAAACAAGUAUUUUAACAACACUGAAUUAUUCAUCAUUCAAGAAUGAAGGUUUAUGUAAUUUGUUUGCUGAGUGUGUUUUCUGUGGUUCUGGCUGAGAAUAACUUAGCUGAGAAAAGUACAUACUACUGUCAAAACGAUACGUCUGUCAAUCUUCCUUGUAUUGACGUUGAAAUUACUUCAGAAUCGAAAAAUGUGUACUGGGCUAUUAAAAAUGACACUGGUUUUAAUGUUGUUGCAUCAAAGGUACUGUUGACGGGCGAAAUUGAUGCACCUGACCCAAAAUAUAAAAUGACAAUAAAGAACCUCUCUUUGACUAUAUUUGAUCCAGUUGAAGGUGAAGUGUUUACAUGUUACGUAGAUGGCAAAGUUUCAGGUGGUACCACUCUAGAACUGGUUACAUACAAAGAACCACAUCACAUGGGGGUUUAUGGAUGUGAUACUUACCCAUGUAAGAUUGCUUUUGAUAUUGCAUCUACUGUAGGCUUGACAUGUGGGUCUAGUGGACACCUUCCAAAUGAGAGUGUUCAAGUCACAUGGCCCCAGUUGACCAGCAAAGAACUUAGGGAACUGCAUCAAAGUAAAAGAGUAUAUGAAGUCCAAACAACAGUCAAAGUAGAGACACUCACUCCUGUAUUGUGCAUCAUUGAUGGUGAAUCAUUUUGUGGCAAGUUAAACACAUUUGCUGUUACAAUCUACAAAGUAGACCAUAGUUUCUGGGAAAAUUGUGUCUUUACUUUUGUGACAGCCUUUUUAAUAACAUGUGCAAUAAUAUUUGGAUGCAAGGAAACGAGAAUAGUUAAGAUGUUUGGAAUUACUGAUAUAAAUCAUUAUUUUAUAAUUUUUUUGCUGUGUUUGGGGUUUAUGUAUUUUUCCUCUUGUACUGUAAUAGGGUAUAUUAGAUCUUAUUUAUAGGCCAAGAUACAGUUGACGUACAGUAAUUCAAACUAUUAAAAGUAUAUUAGGCCUAUUAAUGAUAACAUUUUUUUAUUAUUAUCUAAAUUAUAAAUACAACUAGAAGCUUGACUAUAAUUGCUUUAUCAUUUGUUACAUCCAUCACCUUUUCUAUGUAGCCCUCUAAUGAAACUGCUGGUUGUAAGCGGUUGCUAAAUAUUUAUAAAUCAAAAUACUUGUUGGUGGUGGCCGGUUGCUUAGGUGCACGUAUUAAAAUGAUUUGUUAGUAGUACGCGCACUGACACCCAUUACACAGCUCUUUGCAGCUAGCUCUUCGCAAUACACAGAUGAAUAAAUAAAGAGUGUGGUUAAUUAAAUUUAUUAGGGGUUAUUAGGUAGCUCUAACCUCCUGGUUGGCAUUUCUUUAAUAGAUUUAAAUGUAUUGUAAACAAUAUCAUGCAUUAUUUCAGUUGUUGUUAACAACUUAUUUGUUUGUUACUUUGAUUUCUCUGUAUUUGAUUGGUUAACUAAUUAGCAGAUUUAUUAGGUUGUGUUAUUAUUAAAUGUAUUAUACAAUACUUAAUACAACAAACUGAUUUAUUGGGUUGUAUUUAUCCAAGUGUCAUAUAGUACUGUACAUUAGAUUAAAUAAAUACAGCCUGAUCAUUUUUAGAUUGUAUUUACUUAAAUAAAUACAACCUAACAGUUAACCAGGUUAAUACAACCUAACCUGGUUGUAUUUAUUUAACUAAAUUUACUGUUAUAUUUAAAGAAAUACAACAGAAAUGAUUAUGCUCUAUGGUAAAUUUAGUAAAAUAAAAUACAACCUGAUAAAUUGUAGGACAAAAACCACCCAGGAAAAUAACCACCUGGACAAAAACCACUCAAAAUGGACUAUACCAUUAUAAAAGUGGGUGGACCAUUUAUAAUUGAAAGUAAUUUUUAAAAGAAGUAGGGACAAGCACUUUUAGAAAUUAAAACUGUAUUCAAUUAACAAAUUUGUUUUAAUGAAAAUAUGUACUAUAAAUGUUAAGUAAUUGCUUAUUAACCUACAUGCAUGUUGUCAAAAGAGUUGAAUGAACUAAAGGCAUAUAAGUCACAAUGUAAACUACAGUAUCCUAUUGUAAAGCUAGAUACACUUGUAAAAGUCCCUUGUGUCCUUGGGCAAGGCACUUUAUCUAUGGUUGUCUCUCUCAACCCAGAAGUUCAAGUGGGUACGGUACCUGGUCUGAGUUGUGUUCCAUAUGUGCUUGAUCCUGGGACCAGGGGUAAUAAUGUAAACGCAUAGAGGUCUCCACAAUAUGCGCUAUAUAAGUCAACAAUUAUUAUAUAUUAAAAAAAUCCCACCCAACAUUGUUCACCCCACAGCCCACCCCGCUUUAACAAUGGUGUAGUCCAUUUUGGGUGGUUUAUGUCCAGGUGGUUAUUGUCCUGGGUGGUUUUUGUCUGAUUUCCAAUAAAUUUGGAUUUAUUGGAAAUAUAGUCAUGAUGUGCCUAUAGUCAACUUUCCAUCAUGAUUGCUUUUGAAAAAAAUGUUAAAAAUUCAAAAAAAAAAAAAGAGUUUUUAAAAUGAAUUAAAAAAUUGAUGCCGGUGACUGUCGGGUACAUGUUGUGAAGUGAAUCUGCCUCAGCGAGAUAUCCUGAUUGAAAGAGUUAGUAAGCUAAGUAGAAGAUAAGUUUCGAUUUAAAUUCUAUGUACCAGUAUCAAUGGCCACACAUUUCUAAACAACAAUCUCAAAACACCACCUACGC